GAGUUUGAUCAUGGCUCAGGAUGAACGCUGGCGGCGUGCCUAAUACAUGCAAGUCGUACGAACAGCGGAAAGUGCUUGCACUUUCCAAGUAAGUGGCGAACGGGUGAGUAACACGUGAAUAACCUACCUCAAAGUCUGGGAUAACCAUUGGAAACAGUGACUAAUACCGGAUAAAACCUAGUAGCACAUGCUACAAGGUUAAAAGCUGCGUUUGCAGCGCUUUAAGAUGGAUUCGCGGUG
This 240-nucleotide ribosomal RNA is filed under the name uncultured microorganism. Its description in RNAcentral is "partial 16S ribosomal RNA". It matches the Rfam family "Bacterial small subunit ribosomal RNA", at positions 9 to 238 of the family's 1533-position model. The record is from RNAcentral.